Molecule: non-coding RNA, 795 nt
Organism: Sesamum indicum (sesame)
Lineage: Eukaryota; Viridiplantae; Streptophyta; Magnoliopsida; Lamiales; Pedaliaceae
Source: RefSeq, a predicted model, not a curated record
CUUUAUUCUUCAAAUUAUAUUUCGAAUCAUGCCUCUUUGCCCAUUGAUCUUUUUGUUAAAAACAAAACGAAAAUGAGAGAGUGCAUUUUGAUCCAUAUUGGACAGGCCGGUAUGGAGGGAGUUGUACUACCUUGCGCACGGCAUUGAGCGGUGGCGCGAGAAGGAAAUUGUUCGAACCUAAGCCAAUCCUUGAUGAAAAUUGGCGAGGCUGGUCACCGCCAGGACGAGGCGAAUUAAAUGAUGGUAGUCCGCGAUCGGAAUUCAUCCGAAUGACGAUAAAUCGAGGCGAAAAUCGUUCAGAGUUCGUGGUCAGAGCCCACUCUUUCUCUUUCCGAUCAAUAAAAAUCCAAAUUUAUGGUAUGAAAAUGUUCGUCUUGGUGAGAGGGUUGCAACGGUAUAUGAUAUGCCCAGAAAUUCCUUGGGACGACGCCGGAAUCUUAGAGAGAAGAUUCCGAUGAAAAAGGGGUCGAUCCCGUCGACUUCGGCCGAUGUGUCACAGCUGAAGAUAUGGAAGCAUACAGGAUGAAGAGAUGGAAACAUACAGGAUGAAGAGGGUCCAUCAUGAUGAUCCAAUGUAGGACUUCUUUGCAUUGGAUUUAUAGAUUUUAUGUUAGGAAAAGUCGGAAAUAGUUGUGGUCUUAGGGACAAUCUGAGAGGAAGCAUGCGAAGUUGUGUAAAAAGCACUACGAUUUGCAUGUGUUGUUGCUCUUCUUGAGCUCUGCAAUGUAUUGCUACCGUUGUUGCUAUGUAAUGAUUGGGGAGAUUUGUUAUGCUAUUGCACUCGGUUGUAUUGUA